AGUGAACGCUGGCGGUAGGCCUAACACAUGCAAGUCGAACGGCAGCACAGUAAGAGCUUGCUCUUACGGGUGGCGAGUGGCGGACGGGUGAGGAAUACAUCGGAAUCUACUUUUUCGUGGGGGAUAACGUAGGGAAACUUACGCUAAUACCGCAUACGACCUACGGGUGAAAGCAGGGGAUCUUCGGACCUUGCGCGAUUGAAUGAGCCGAUGUCGGAUUAGCUAGUUGGCGGGGUAAAGGCCCACCAAGGCGACGAUCCGUAGCUGGUCUGAGAGGAUGAUCAGCCACACUGGAACUGAGACACGGUCCAGACUCCUACGGGAGGCAGCAGUGGGGAAUACUGGACAAUGGGCGCAAGCCUGAUCCAGCCAUACCGCGUGGGUGAAGAAGGCCUUCGGGUUGUAAAGCCCUUUUGUUGGGAAAGAAAAGCAGCAGGUUAAUACCCCGCUGUUCUGACGGUACCCAAAGAAUAAGCACCGGCUAACUUCGUC
This 492-nucleotide ribosomal RNA is filed under the name uncultured bacterium. RNAcentral's name for it is "partial 16S ribosomal RNA". It matches the Rfam family "Bacterial small subunit ribosomal RNA", at positions 29 to 507 of the family's 1533-position model. The record is from RNAcentral.